This is a long non-coding RNA of Clupea harengus (Atlantic herring), 287 nucleotides long. The record is from Ensembl. NCBI's taxonomy places the organism in Eukaryota, Metazoa, Chordata, Actinopteri, Clupeiformes, Clupeidae.
GAGCUACCAACUCUCACGGUUUCGCCGUGUGACACACGCUUUUGCAUGUUUUCACACGCACUCACGCCACACAUCCAAUAUCUCACGGAUCUCAAGGACUCACUCAGAAGACUUUUCCAAACAACACUUUGAAUAGGUUUCCCCAUCUCCUCCCAUACCAUGGGCCAGAGGAGCAUGACCACCUGGGUGAGGAGUUUCUGAAUUAUCAGACCAUGCCAACCACCUCCCUUCAGGACGAAACUGAGAUGGAAAGCUUCUGGGCUGGAAUGGCAACACGGAAACAUAAG